Molecule: ribosomal RNA, 252 nt
Filed under: uncultured bacterium
Lineage: Bacteria
Description: partial 16S ribosomal RNA
Rfam family: Bacterial small subunit ribosomal RNA
Source: RNAcentral
UACGUAGGGUCCGAGCGUUGUCCGGAAUUAUUGGGCGUAAAGGGCUCGUAGGCGGUUCGUCACGUCGGGAGUGAAAACUCGGGGCUUAACCCCGAGCCUGCUUCCGAUACGGGCAGACUAGAGGUAGGCAGGGGAGAGCGGAACUCCUGGUGUAGCGGUGGAAUGCGCAGAUAUCAGGAAGAACACCGGUGGCGAAGGCGGCUCUCUGGGCCUUACCUGACGCUGGGAGCGAAAGCGUGGGUAGCGAACAGG